Molecule: ribosomal RNA, 376 nt
Filed under: uncultured bacterium
Lineage: Bacteria
Description: bacterial SSU rRNA
Rfam family: Bacterial small subunit ribosomal RNA
Source: RNAcentral
UACGUAGGUGGCGAGCGUUGUUCGGAAUUAUUGGGCGUAAAGGGUCCGCAGGGGGCCUGUUAAGUUAGAUGUGAAAUCCCGGGGCUCAACUCCGGAACUGCAUUUAAAACUGACGGGCUAGAGUAUUGGAGAGGUGAGCGGAAUUCCAGGUGUAGCGGUGGAAUGCGUAGAUAUCUGGAAGAACACCGAAAGCGAAGGCAGCUCACUGGACAAUUACUGACCCUCAUGGACGAAAGCGUGGGGAGCAAACAGGAUUAGAUACCCUGGUAGUCCACGCCGUAAACGUUGUGAACUUGUUGUGGGGGGAUUUAGCCCCCUCCGUGACGAAGCUAACGCGAUAAGUUCACCGCCUGGGGACUACGGUCGCAAGACUAAA